GAUGAACGCUGGCGGCGUGCUUAACACAUGCAAGUCGAGCGAAGCGGUUUUAAGGAAGUUUUCGGAUGGAAUUAAGAUUGACUUAGCGGCGGACGGGUGAGUAACGCGUGGGUAACCUGCCUCAUACAGGGGGAUAACAGUUAGAAAUGACUGCUAAUACCGCAUAAGCGCACAGUGCUGCAUAGCACAGUGUGAAAAACUCCGGUGGUAUGAGAUGGACCCGCGUCUGAUUAGGUAGUUGGUGAGGUAAUGGCUCACCAAGCCGACGAUCAGUAGCCGACCUGAGAGGGUGACCGGCCACAUUGGGACUGAGACACGGCCCAAACUCCUACGGGAGGCAGCAGUGGGGAAUAUUGGACAAUGGGGGAAACCCUGAUCCAGCGACGCCGCGUGAGUGAAGAAGUGUUUCGGCAUGUAAAGCUCUAUCAGCAGGGAAGAAAAUGACGGUACCUGACUAAGAAGCCCCGGCUAACUACGUGCCAGCCGCCGCAGUAA
RNAcentral lists this ribosomal RNA (495 nucleotides) under uncultured bacterium. RNAcentral describes it as "partial 16S ribosomal RNA". It matches the Rfam family "Bacterial small subunit ribosomal RNA", at positions 28 to 523 of the family's 1533-position model. The record is from RNAcentral.